RNAcentral lists this ribosomal RNA (408 nucleotides) under uncultured bacterium. RNAcentral's name for it is "partial 16S ribosomal RNA". It matches the Rfam family "Bacterial small subunit ribosomal RNA", at positions 28 to 526 of the family's 1533-position model. The record is from RNAcentral.
GACGAACGCUGGCGGCGUGCUUAACACAUGCAAGUCGAACGAAGUGGCGAAGGGGUUAGUAAUUCGUGGGUAGCCUGCCCUCCGUUUUUGGAUAAGCCUUGGAAACGGGGUCUAAUACCGAAUAAAGGGGGAUGGGGUCGCGGCCUGUCAGGUUGUUGGGGGGCUGAUGGCCUACCAAGGCGGUGACGGGUGGCCGGCCUGAGAGCGUGACUGGCCCCAUGGGGACGGAGAUACGGCCCAGACUCGCACGGGAGGCAACAGUGGGGCAUAUUGCACAAGGGGGAAAAGCCUAAUGCAGGGACGUCGCGUGGGGGUUGAAGGCUUUCGGGUUGUAAACCGCUUACGCUAUCGAACGGGUACGUGGAGAAGAAGCGCCGGCUAACUACGUGCCAGCCGCCGCGGUAAUUC